GGGUCAGUAGGUUGGUUGUGCCACCGGUACGUACUGGUCUCACUGAUUCCUCCUUCCUGAAGAACCGUAAUGCCAUUAAUUUGGUGUUGCGGGGAAACAGGACUGUUACUUUGAAAAAAUUAGAGUGUUUAAAGCAAGCUAACGCUUGAAUACAUUAGCAUGUAAUAAUGAAAUAGGACGAUAGAUCCUAUUUUGUUGGUUUCUAGGAUUGACUUA
Molecule: ribosomal RNA, 216 nt
Filed under: Glomeromycotina sp.
Lineage: Eukaryota; Fungi; Glomeromycota
Description: partial small subunit ribosomal RNA
Rfam family: Eukaryotic small subunit ribosomal RNA (bases 40-216)
Source: RNAcentral